This is a long non-coding RNA of Cotesia glomerata, 523 nucleotides long. RefSeq lists it as uncharacterized. The record is from RefSeq and is a predicted model, not a curated record. NCBI's taxonomy places the organism in Eukaryota, Metazoa, Arthropoda, Insecta, Hymenoptera, Braconidae. The transcript is spliced from 3 exons.
GGCAGGCCCUUGAUUGCGAAAGCACCGCGGAACAGCGGCUUGAACACCUCCAGGACAUUUUCUGUCCUAUGAGCAGAGUUCUAAAAAAAUUAGAUUUCUUUAACAUAACCUAGGACUGGUUAAUUUAUUUAGAACAAUGUGACUUACGAGGAUAAAGUUGCCGAUUAGUUUACUGAUAUUCGUCACCAAAGUAAAUCCGGCUCCAAAAGCUUUUGAAGGGACCUCCAGUGACACUUUGUUCCUAUCAAAUAUCGGGGUGUUGUCAGUGGUCGCCGAGACCUACCAUUAGAAGAAAAAAAAUUUAUUUCUUCUUUCAAUAAAAUUACAGUCAUCUGACUUAUUAAUUGUCAAAAAUCUAGCUUAAUUAUCUAAGCUGUUAAUAAAAUCAGUGCUUCCAUAGCUAAAAAAAACAAAAAAACUGUGCAACAAAACCCAAAAAAGUGCCAGGGUAAUGAAGCAUUUCACCAAGACACUAGUAAUUUACAAAGAAGAUAAACGCAUGGCAAAUUACAACACAAUAUAC